Molecule: long non-coding RNA, 1044 nt
Filed under: Callithrix jacchus (white-tufted-ear marmoset)
Lineage: Eukaryota; Metazoa; Chordata; Mammalia; Primates; Cebidae
Description: lncRNA (ENSCJAG00000074231.1)
Source: RNAcentral
AUGCUGCUGUGUUUGCUGGGCUGGCGCACACGCAUGCUUGCUGUGUUUCCCGGGCUGGCGCACACACAUGCUUGCUGUGUUUCCCGGGCUGGCGCACAUACAUAUGCUGCCGUGUUUCCCGGGCUGGCGCACAUACAUAUGCUGCCGUGUUUCCCGGGCUGGCGCACAUACAUAUGCUGCCGUGUUUCCCGGGCUGGUGCACAUACAUAUGCUGCCGUGUUUCCCGGGCUGGUGCACAUACAUAUGCUGCCGUGUUUCCCGGGCUGGCGCACACACAUGCUUGCUGUGUUUCCCGGGCUGGCGCACACACAUGCUUGCUGUGUUUCCCGGGCUGGCGCACAUACAUAUGCUGCCAUGUUUCCUGGGCUGGCGCACACGCAUGCUUGCUGUGUUUCCCGGGCUGGCGCACACACAUGCUUGCCGUGUUUCCCGGGCUGGUGCACAUACAUAUGCUGCCGUGUUUCCCGGGCUGGCGCACAUACAUAUGCUGCCGUGUUUCCCGGGCUGGCGCACACGCAUGCUUGCUGUGUUUCCCGGGCUGGCGCACACACAUAUGCUGCCGUGUUUCCCGGGCUGGCGCACACACAUGCUUGCCGUGUUUCCCGGGCUGGCGCACAUACAUGCUUGCUGUGUUUCCCGGGCUGGCGCACACACAUGCUUGCUGUGUUUCCCGGGCUGGCGCACAUACAUAUGCUGCCGUGUUUCCCGGGCUGGCGCACAUACAUAUGCUGCCGUGUUUCCCGGGCUGGCGCACAUACAUAUGCUGCCGUGUUUCCCGGGCUGGCGCACAUACAUAUGCUGCCGUGUUUCCCGGGCUGGCGCACAUACAUAUGCUGCCGUGUUUCCCGGGCUGGCGCACACGCAUGCUUGCUGUGUUUCCCGGGCUGGCCCAUACUCAUGCUUGCCGUGUUUCCUGGACCAUCUCAGUGCCCUGGUGCCAGCAAGAGUGGUCCUGAAUCAGAAGACAUAGGUCCGAGUUGGCUGAAUGACAGAGGACUCGCCAUUCCAAACACCUCACACUGUUCCCGGGUGCUUCGGUUAUAG